Non-coding RNA from Cololabis saira (Pacific saury), 88 nucleotides. The record is from the annotation of a RefSeq genome assembly. Lineage: Eukaryota; Metazoa; Chordata; Actinopteri; Beloniformes; Belonidae.
GGUAGCGUGGCCGAGUGGUCUAAGGCGCUGGAUUAAGGCUCCAGUCUCUUCGGGGGUCUCUUCGUGGGUUCGAAUCCCACCACUGCCA